GUUGUUUGAUGAUUUGUUGAUGGCGGCCAUUCUAGCAGGUCUGUGUGGGUGUCCCCUGGAGCUGUUUGUUGUUUUGAAUCCAGUUGUGCCCUCAGUUGUUAUUGGAUGCAGAAGGCAACAAUAAAACAAUGCUAAAAUAUAAAUGCCAU
This is a long non-coding RNA of Molossus molossus (Pallas's mastiff bat), 149 nucleotides long. RefSeq lists it as uncharacterized. The transcript is spliced from 3 exons. The record is from RefSeq and is a predicted model, not a curated record. Lineage: Eukaryota; Metazoa; Chordata; Mammalia; Chiroptera; Molossidae.